This 1355-nucleotide ribosomal RNA is filed under the name uncultured bacterium. RNAcentral's name for it is "bacterial SSU rRNA". It matches the Rfam family "Bacterial small subunit ribosomal RNA", at positions 28 to 1381 of the family's 1533-position model. The record is from RNAcentral.
AUUGAACGCUGGCGGCAGGCUUAACACAUGCAAGUCGAACGAUGACUCUCUAGCUUGCUAGAGAAGAUUAGUGGCGGACGGGUGAGUAACAUUUAGGAAUCUGCCUAGUAGUGGGGGAUAGCUCGGGGAAACUCGAAUUAAUACCGCAUACGACCUACGGGUGAAAGGGGGCGCAAGCUCUUGCUAUUAGAUGAGCCUAAAUCAGAUUAGCUAGUUGGUGGGGUAAAGGCCUACCAAGGCGACGAUCUGUAACUGGUCUGAGAGGAUGAUCAGUCACACCGGAACUGAGACACGGUCCGGACUCCUACGGGAGGCAGCAGUGGGGAAUAUUGGACAAUGGGGGCAACCCUGAUCCAGCCAUGCCGCGUGUGUGAAGAAGGCCUUUUGGUUGUAAAGCACUUUAAGCAGGGAGGAGAGGCUAAUGGUUAAUACCCAUUAGAUUAGACGUUACCUGCAGAAUAAGCACCGGCUAACUCUGUGCCAGCAGCCGCGGUAAUACAGAGGGUGCGAGCGUUAAUCGGAAUUACUGGGCGUAAAGCGAGUGUAGGUGGCUCAUUAAGUCACAUGUGAAAUCCCCGGGCUUAACCUGGGAACUGCAUGUGAUACUGGUGGUGCUAGAAUAUGUGAGAGGGAAGUAGAAUUCCAGGUGUAGCGGUGAAAUGCGUAGAGAUCUGGAGGAAUACCGAUGGCGAAGGCAGCUUCCUGGCAUAAUAUUGACACUGAGAUUCGAAAGCGUGGGUAGCAAACAGGAUUAGAUACCCUGGUAGUCCACGCCGUAAACGAUGUCUACUAGCCGUUGGGGUCCUUGAGACUUUAGUGGCGCAGUUAACGCGAUAAGUAGACCGCCUGGGGAGUACGGCCGCAAGGUUAAAACUCAAAUGAAUUGACGGGGGCCCGCACAAGCGGUGGAGCAUGUGGUUUAAUUCGAUGCAACGCGAAGAACCUUACCUGGUCUUGACAUAGUGAGAAUCUUUCAGAGAUGAGAGAGUGCCUUUGGGAACUCACAUACAGGUGCUGCAUGGCUGUCGUCAGCUCGUGUCGUGAGAUGUUGGGUUAAGUCCCGCAACGAGCGCAACCCUUUUCCUUAUUUGCCAGCGGGUUAAGCCGGGAACUUUAAGGAUACUGCCAGUGACAAACUGGAGGAAGGCGGGGACGACGUCAAGUCAUCAUGGCCCUUACGACCAGGGCUACACACGUGCUACAAUGGUAGGUACAGAGGGUUGCUACACAGCGAUGUGAUGCGAAUCUCAAAAAGCCUAUCGUAGUCCGGAUUGGAGUCUGCAACUCGACUCCAUGAAGUCGGAAUCGCUAGUAAUCGCGGAUCAGAAUGCCGCGGUGAAUACGUUCCCGGGCCU